Molecule: long non-coding RNA, 1124 nt
Organism: Ruditapes philippinarum (Manila clam)
Lineage: Eukaryota; Metazoa; Mollusca; Bivalvia; Venerida; Veneridae
Exons: 3
Source: RefSeq, a predicted model, not a curated record
GUCCAGUUGAAUAAACAGAAAAUUCUUUUUAAUUAAUUUAUUUAGGUGAUUUGGGGCAGCGGUAUGGAAAGUAAAGUUGCAUGUGAAGGAGCCAGAAAAGACUUGUUAAACUGUCUUCGACAAUCAGAAUGUUACAAAAUUGAAGGUCACACACCAAGAGAAUGUCUAAUGAGAGGGGAUGAUAUGCCAGAAGAAUGUAAACAGAUCAGAAUAAGACUUUUUAGAUGUAAAAGAUCACAGAUCGAUGCACGGACGAGAUUUAGAGGGAAAAUUGAAUGACAGAUGACUAGUUUUUAUAGAAGAUUACAAAUGUAUUUUUAAAACAAUGAUAAUGUGACUUCUUAGAAUUUGUGAAAGUUUAAGACUGAAGAAAUCAGAUUAACCAAGAUGGAAAAGUUCUGCAAGUCAAGUGAAUGAUUUAGGAACAUGUUAAAACUUCAUGAACAGAAUCUGCAAGUGUUUUUUUCUCCUCAAGAAGAUAAAUCUCUACAUGGAAAAGUUUGUGUUAAAUAUACCAGUUAUUUAAAUGAAAUUUAAGUUAAUUGCUCCUACUUAAUUUCCAUAACUCUAGAAUGGAUUUUGACUGCUUUAUGUCCCUUUUAAAACAUGGAAAAUUGCACCUUUAGGUGAGCAUAUGUGUUCUUUCUACCCAGCCAGUGAAGGUUAUCAUAUUCCUUUGGAUGGGAGGCAUAUGUUACUGGCUAAAAACCUUAUCUCUAAAAUGUAAUAAUAUAUGUAUUUUUUCUUGAAUUAUUCUCCUUUAUAACUUACAAUUGAUGUACAAGAUUCCUGCAAGACUGAUGUUUUACUAUCAAAAACUUAGAAUAGUGGAGCAAUCUGUCCCUCGAACAGCUCUUGUACUGUAAAUAUUUUGAUAGCCUUGCUCAAAAGUUAUGUUGGAAAAAAUAUGAACCACCAAUAUGGUUGAAAGAUUGUUUAAAGUUCAAUGUUUCUUUGGACUUUGUUAAUAUUAUAUAUUAACAUAUAUUAGCAUUCUAAAUACAAAUAAUGUUGUGAUGACUUUGGUUAUAAUCAUUACUGGACGUAUGAGGAUGUGGUACAUAACUAAUUGUAAUUGUUAUUUAUGAAUUUUUUACAUUGACAUGAUUAUAUGAUAAAAAAAA